RNAcentral lists this non-coding RNA (31 nucleotides) under Mus musculus (house mouse). The record is from RNAcentral. Lineage: Eukaryota; Metazoa; Chordata; Mammalia; Rodentia; Muridae.
UGCCAUGUGGGUUCUGAGAAUUGAACCUGGU